This 665-nucleotide unclassified non-coding RNA is filed under the name Zea mays. RNAcentral describes it as "misc RNA Zm00001eb190480". Lineage: Eukaryota; Viridiplantae; Streptophyta; Magnoliopsida; Poales; Poaceae. The record is from RNAcentral.
GGGCACGCACAACUUCUUCCCCCAACAACCCUCAGUCAUCCGUGCUUCGUGGGCAGCUCAACAAAUCCGGCCGAAGACCCCGGCGGGGCGCGCGCGCCGCUCCCCUGGCCAUAUGAACUUCGUCCCUCGCGCCACAGAAGAGAUGAGCGGGUUGGAGUCUUCGUCGCCGAGUUCUCUUAUCUCUCCUCCCUCUCCUCUCCAUUUCUCUCCCCUCGACCGAGCUCCUCUCCUGCCCAUCCAUGGUGCUCGGCACCCGGUAUCCCUGCUCCUCUUCCUUGGCGGCCGAGCGGGGCUCCCUCUGACGACUCCGCGCUUCCUCUGGUGCACGGCCGCCUCUAUUGCCGUCGCCUGGGGCUUCUGCUGCGUUACCAUGGGCCAAACAGCGAGGAAAAUGCCGAGAGAGAGGUAGAGACAGUUUGGUCGUCGAGUCACAUGGAGGGUGCCCUGGUGGCCGGGGAAUCCUUCACCUGCGGGGUGCUACAUCGCCGGGCUGCUGCAUCGUGGUCUGCCUCUACUACCAGGGCUGACUCCAUUGCCGGACAGCCAAAACUCUCGGUCGAGUCUCUGAAGGCCGUCUGUCCCUGUUCCUUCCGGUCAAGAACAGGUACCACAGGAUGAGGCGCAUGGAGGAUGCUGUGAUGAGUUCGUGAGUGGUCUAGGCCGUC